CAGGCAGCGCGCGCUGCACGGUGGGGGCGCCCUCGCCGCGGGGGUGGGGGGCGGGCCUGGAGAGAGCGUACCUCUGGGAGACACCCUCCUCUCCUACCCGCCACGCGCUCUCAGCCGGCCUACGGGACGCAGCCCUCCCCCCACCUCCCCUUCUCGGCCUUCGCAAGUGUGGGCGCCUCGGGGCACUGGCGAGUCUCUCCAGGUCUCUUUUACGUUGGUUAGUUUAGCAAACUGCCUCCAGCCUGGACUGCUGACCCGUGACCUCCCAUAACUCAAACCCAGGCUGACAUAUGUGGGCUUCGUUCCCUCACUUCUCAGUGUCUCCUCCUGAAAUCAAGACGCUUCCUCAGGUCCCAGCUUAAAUGUCGCCUCUUCAAUGGAGUUCUUCCUUGACUGCCUCACGUAAUAUGAAGCUAAGUUUGAAUGGUCCAUGCCUGAUCAUGACCAGUGUUCCCUGGCUCCUCCAAAUCAUCAAGUCUGUCCCAUGCUACACCACCAAGCACCACGGAGCAGCUUCCUCGGGAUACGGCCAGGUCUCCUUAAACCAGGUGGCCCACCACAGAUUGAAUCCACCCCCAAUGAGGUCUUCAACAGAGACUCAGCCAAGCUGAAAAUUGAUGGGAACCAAUGUUCGAUGGUCGAGGAGAUGACAUUUGAAGACUCAAGGCAAAGGAGUUCUCUGGAGAGGGAACAGCAUGUGCAAAGUUCCUGAGGUGCAAAUAUGAUUUAUAUGUACAAGAAAUUGAAAAACACUGGUGUAUGGGUGUAUGGGAACUGAGCAGUCACAUGGAACAAACCAACCUGAAUAAAUUUUAUUCUUCAUUCCCAACUCUCUGCUGCACAGGUUGGUAUAAGUGACAACACUGGCAAGGUUAAAUAUUUUGGAUUCAGGUUGGAGUUCCUCAAGACAAAGAUUAGAUCAAAAUCCUAUUUCUGGACUUCUUAGUCUGACUAAUCGUUAGCUGGUGGUUGUUUAAAUAAAGUUUCUCUACCUCUGAUCUAACUUCUUUGCAUUCUAAUCUCUACUUUCCCCCUUUCUAUUCUUCACCCCCUUGGCUUCCAACACAGCUGCAAUGUCCACAAUCCAGGAUCACCUGAGCUGGUUCACACCUGUCUUCCUGCCCUGUCAGAGCUUCUUGAUAGAUGACCUAGCAGGUCAGCUUCCUGAUUGUAGCCUCUCCCUAUGUCUGAGAGCUGUUUGUUUUCACCCUUUGUCUUCCUUCCACUUCUGCCUUCUCUCUCUCUCUGUCUCUAACUCACACUUCUGGCAGCCCUACAUCCAUACUCUGUCUGGUCCAGGCUGCUUCUAGGUACUCAAGGCUUUGAUGGCAGCUUUGUGCCUGGAAUUCACUUCCCCAGCCGGAGAACCAGCCCGAUGGCAACAUUGAAAGAACCGUUAUUGGUUUAGAAGCAAUACUGGCAGCACAUAAGGAAUUGGGGCUGGGACAUCUCUGAAACAACCUGCAUGGUGUUUACCUUCAAACAUUAACCACCCCCUAGGGCACAAGUUUCUGUAGCUCAAUCAAUUCCUUCUCCCAACUCAGCACCUCCUUAUUUCCCAAACCAAGCAACUUCAUAUUUUGUUAUAGAUUUGCAUUAUCUUUAUUUUGUGAAUAUUUAAUGUUUCAUCCCAACAAGAUGUAGAGUUCUUGAAAAGCAAGAACAGUGUCCUGUAUUUGAUUUGUAAAUUUUGUUAGUCUUAAUAGUGUUGUGUGUACAUAUGGUGAGAGCCUAAUAAACACUGGCUGAUUGAUC
Molecule: long non-coding RNA, 1755 nt
Organism: Mustela lutreola (European mink)
Lineage: Eukaryota; Metazoa; Chordata; Mammalia; Carnivora; Mustelidae
Exons: 4
Source: RefSeq, a predicted model, not a curated record